UUAUAUUAUACUAUACUGUACUAUAUUGUACUGUACUGUGCUAUAUUGUACUGUGCUAUAUUGUACUGUACUAUAUUCUAUUGUACGUAAUUUGAAAAAAAAUUUGGUACGACCGAGGCGGUUGCAUGUCCAGUAGGUCGUAAUUCGAGGAGUAGCUGUAUAUUGUAGCCUUGAAGUGUACCAACUAUAUAGUCCUUGGUACCAGAAUUGUGCAUUUUAUGUACCAAGGCUAUAUAGUCUUGCAUGCCUAGAAGUGCUCAUUUUGUGUACCUACAGUAGACUGUAUAGCCUUGGUGCACUUUUACUAAUACUACUUUUUUUUCUUCAUCUUUCUAGUUUUUUGUUUCACUUCAGUUAAUUAAAUUAUUAUUAUUAAAGUAGUUUGAAGAAGAUUACAGGGGGCCCCCAAUUUACAAACAGGUUCCGUUCCUUGUGACAUUCUUUUUCGGAUUUGUACUUAAGUCGGAACACGCGCCAUGAGCAUACCAUACUUACAGAACAAUGUUUAAAAUCACACUAUAUCACAGCCUAAGUCCUUAUAUACAUCUAAAAUCAAUUAAUUUAAGACAAAAGAGAAAUAGAUUGACAAUACAGUAAAUGAAAGUAAAAAAUAUCAUUUGAUGAUAUAUUGUAAAUUUCAUGUUUAACACCGUUCAUAUCGAUUGGGACUCCCUGUACUUUCUACAAGUUUUAAUUUUUACAUAGUAACAGUGCAGUACUUUGUCUUAAGUAAUGUUUUCAUAUACUUUCUGCCCCACUGGCUAAAAUGGACCUGAAUUGAGCUGGACCUGCAGUGAACUAGACCUGAAGUGAACUGGACCGUAAUUACUAUCUGAGUGUGGUAUAAAAGAAUGGGGGAAGAGGAGAGCAAGGAGAACUGACAGCUGGAGGAACACCAAUUUCACCAGGAGUGUGGGCAGUCAUUACCAGUCCCAACAACACACCAUGCAGUCGCCACACUAGCCCACCAUACACAAAAGACUGCUACAAGCACCAAGGAACUGUAUGUAACUUCUUACCACCACACCACAACAGAUAUUGAUGGUGUCUAUGAGGAAGUGUGGACUGAUGGUGAUGUCUGUAGUGUUAUAGUGGUUGGCAGACAACAGUGAAGUAAUGGUGAUAUGUUGUCACUUAUAUUCAGUUGUGAACAUUAAUGAACCAAGUUAUAUUAUAUAAAUUGUUAUAUUAAAAUUAUAUGUAAA
Molecule: long non-coding RNA, 1205 nt
Organism: Homarus americanus (American lobster)
Lineage: Eukaryota; Metazoa; Arthropoda; Malacostraca; Decapoda; Nephropidae
Exons: 2
Source: RefSeq, a predicted model, not a curated record